GACGAACGCUGGCGGCGUGCCUAAUACAUGCAAGUUGAGCGCUGAAGGUUGGUACUUGUACCGACUGGAUGAGCAGCGAACGGGUGAGUAACGCGUGGGGAAUCUGCCUUUGAGCGGGGGACAACAUUUGGAAACGAAUGCUAAUACCGCAUAAAAACUUUAAACACAAGUUUUAAGUUUGAAAGAUGCAAUUGCAUCACUCAAAGAUGAUCCCGCGUUGUAUUAGCUAGUUGGUGAGGUAAAGGCUCACCAAGGCGAUGAUACAUAGCCGACCUGAGAGGGUGAUCGGCCACAUUGGGACUGAGACACGGCCCAAACUCCUACGGGAGGCAGCAGUAGGGAAUCUUCGGCGAUGGACGAAAGUCUGACCGAGCAACGCCGCGUGAGUGAAGAAGGUUUUCGGAUCGUAAAACUCUGUUGGUAGAGAAGAACGUUGGUGAGAGUGGAAAGCUCAUCAAGUGACGGUAACUACCCAGAAAGGGACGGCUAACUACGUG
This 497-nucleotide ribosomal RNA is filed under the name uncultured bacterium. RNAcentral describes it as "partial 16S ribosomal RNA". It matches the Rfam family "Bacterial small subunit ribosomal RNA", at positions 28 to 507 of the family's 1533-position model. The record is from RNAcentral.